This 253-nucleotide ribosomal RNA is filed under the name uncultured bacterium. RNAcentral describes it as "partial 16S ribosomal RNA". It matches the Rfam family "Bacterial small subunit ribosomal RNA", at positions 524 to 776 of the family's 1533-position model. The record is from RNAcentral.
UACGUAGGGUGCGAGCGUUAAUCGGAAUUACUGGGCGUAAAGCGUGCGCAGGCGGCGGCUCAAGUCAGGUGUGAAAUCCCCGGGCUUAACCUGGGAAUUGCGCUUGAAACUAGGUCGCUAGAGUGUGGCAGUGGGGGGUGGAAUUCCACGUGUAGCAGUGAAAUGCGUAGAGAUGUGGAGGAACACCGAUGGCGAAGGCAGCCCCCUGGGUCAACACUGACGCUCAUGCACGAAAGCGUGGGGAGCAAACAGG